RNAcentral lists this ribosomal RNA (492 nucleotides) under uncultured bacterium. Its description in RNAcentral is "partial 16S ribosomal RNA". It matches the Rfam family "Bacterial small subunit ribosomal RNA", at positions 29 to 507 of the family's 1533-position model. The record is from RNAcentral.
AGUGAACGCUGGCGGUAGGCCUAACACAUGCAAGUCGAACGGCAGCACAGUAAGAGCUUGCUCUUACGGGUGGCGAGUGGCGGACGGGUGAGGAAUACAUCGGAAUCUACUUUUUCGUGGGGGAUAACGUAGGGAAACUUACGCUAAUACCGCAUACGACCUACGGGUGAAAGCAGGGGAACUUCGGACCUUGCGCGAUUGAAUGAGCCGAUGUCGGAUUAGCUAGUUGGCGGGGUAAAGGCCCACCAAGGCGACGAUCCGUAGCUGGUCUGAGAGGAUGGUCAGCCACACUGGAACUGAGACACGGUCCAGAGUCCUACGGGAGGCAGCAGUGGGGAAUAUUGGACAAUGGGCGCAAGCCUGAUCCAGCCAUACCGCGUGGGUGAAGGAGGCCUUCGGGUUGUAAAGCCCUUUUGUUGGGAAAGAAAAGCAGCAGGUUGAUACCCCGCUGUUCUGACGGUACCCAAAGAAUAAGCACCGGCUAACUUCGUG